Non-coding RNA from Podarcis lilfordi (Lilford's wall lizard), 1691 nucleotides. The record is from the annotation of a GenBank genome assembly. Lineage: Eukaryota; Metazoa; Chordata; Lepidosauria; Squamata; Lacertidae.
GCUCAGUCUGUGAGAUCAGAAAAGAUCAAAGCCAAAUGUGAUAUGCCUCUAGGCCGUGUGCUGAAAUAAAGUCCCAACAACUCACAACACAAUCAUUGUUCAUUAUGAUUUCCUUUAGGGAGCUCCUCAUAGGGAAUGGCUUAACCGGAAGGAAAGAGUUAUCAAACUGUCUGAUAAAAAGAUGGACGUAGAUAACAACCUACCUAUAACUAACACUCUGCUGUCCUACAAAAUAAAGUGAUUCCAAAGAAGUUGUAUAAACUUACAUUCUGAAUAGAAUAUAUUGUCACAGUCAAAUAAUUUACCAUUUUUCCCCUGAAACCUUGACUGACUGAUUGGUCUAUGAUGGUGUUUAAUAGUUUAUUUUUUUUCAACCUCCUGCUUACUCAAAAUAAUAUAGGUAAUUAGGAAUCUGUUGAUUAGGAUCAGUUCAAUGAAUAAUUACUCUAGAGACAUUCUUAUUACUGGACACCUUAUCUGGAUCUACAGAGAAAACAACAUUAAUUGUAAAGUGUAUAUUAUUUCCCUUCACAGCUUACAUCAGCUUAAGUUAAGUAUUUCAAAUUAGCAAAUCAUGUUAUUUUUAAAUAAAGCUUUUGUUGACUGAAACUGAAUACAUUAACUGGGCAGUUAAAGCUUUAUUUAUAUAGUUAUUUUAUGCUCUUCAGAAGAAGUAAUUCAGGCAAUGUGUGGGGCUGCCUCUGAAGAUGGUUCGGAAACUUCAGCUGGUGCAAAAUGCAAUGACGAGCUUGCUCACCAUAACAAGGUGGUUUGAGCAUAUAAAACCAAUUCUGGCACAACUGUACCGGCUGCUGAUUAGAAGAAGAAGAAGAAGAAGAAGAAGAAGAAGAAGAAGAAGAAGAAGAAGAAGAAUUUGGAUUUGAUAUCCCACCUUUCACUCCCUUUAAGGAGUCUCAAAGCGGCUAACAGUCUCCUUUCCCUUCCUCCCCCACAACAAACACUCUGUGAGGUGAGUGGGGCUGAGAGACUUCAAAGAAGUGUGACUGGCCCAAGGUCACCCAGCAGCUGCAUGUGGAGGAGCGGAGACGUGAACCCGGUUCCCCAGAUUACGAGACUACCGCUCUUAACCACUACACCACACUGGUUCUCAUUAGUUUCUGGGCCCAAUUCAAAAGUGCUGGUGUUGACUUACACAGCUCAGGAUCUCAGUAUGUUUGGUAUCACCUCUCCCCAUACGAAUCAACCUGGGUCUGCAUUGUCCUCUGAGGCCCCUUUCUAUGCCCCCUCCAAGAGAGGUUAAGAGGUUGGCAACACGAGAACGGGCCUUUUCUGCAGUGGCUCCCCUUUUGUGGAAUGUUCUCCCCAGGGAGGCUUGCCUGGCACCUUCAUUAUACACCUUUAGACACCAGGUGAAAACGUUCCUCUUCAAGCAAGUCUUUGGCUAAUUAACUCCAAUGUCCUUUUAAAUGUUUUCGAGGGGGUUAUUGUUUUGUUUUGUCUUUGGUCAUGUUUUUAUUAUAUAUUGUGUGUUUUUAUCUUACAUUUUUAUGCUCUGAACUGCCCUGAUAUUUUCAGAUGAGGGGUUGCAUUGAAUAAAUAAUAAAUAAAAUAUAGGAAAACGAAGCACAGUUCUGUCAAAGAAUUUAUUCUGUUCCACCAAAGUAAAUGGAGAAACCUACCUUUUAAAAUAGCUACUGUUGCAUUUGCUGUUUUAGAUGUUUUCAAAAGUA